Molecule: non-coding RNA, 102 nt
Filed under: uncultured Bulleidia sp.
Lineage: Bacteria; Bacillati; Bacillota; Erysipelotrichia; Erysipelotrichales; Erysipelotrichaceae
Description: FMN riboswitch (RFN element)
Rfam family: FMN riboswitch aptamer (RFN element)
About the family: The RFN element is a highly conserved domain that is found frequently in the 5'-untranslated regions of prokaryotic mRNAs that encode for flavin mononucleotide (FMN) biosynthesis and transport proteins. This element is a metabolite-dependent riboswitch that directly binds FMN in the absence of proteins.
Source: RNAcentral
CUCAGGGCAGGGUGUAAUUCCCGACCGGCGGUAAACCCCGCGAGCCGUAAGGUUGAAUUGGUGAAAUUCCAAUGGCGACAGUAUAGUCUGGAUGGAAGAGAU